Anas platyrhynchos (mallard) is the source of this 744-nucleotide non-coding RNA. The record is from RefSeq and is a predicted model, not a curated record. NCBI's taxonomy places the organism in Eukaryota, Metazoa, Chordata, Aves, Anseriformes, Anatidae.
UCUGUGUUAUUUGUACUGUAAGAAAAAUAAAGUUUUUUAACCUAAAACAAAAUAUCACCCCUGUAGAAACAGCAAGAGCAAUGCUGUUGAAAAGCAUAUCUGUUGUAGCAUUUGUACUCAGUAGCUGCUGGUUUUCUUCUUUUGCUUCAGGAUAUCAAGACGAGAUGUUGUGAUCAUACAUGUACAUUUACUGGUGGUGCAGAAACCAGGGGCUUCUGUCUUUUUUUUUAGUACUUCCUGUUGUGUCCUCUGCCUUUUCUAUGACUGGAGAUGUUAGGUGGAAUUACAUGAAGGCUUGUAAGAUGUGAUGCAGGUACCUAUGUCCCUUGGCACAACAGUGCAGCCUUCUGUCUCUUUCCCUCUGCCACUCCAAGGACUGCAUUUACCCCGGUCAUUGGCACAGACUGACUGUCAGCAUGAAGUGAGAAUGAUCCCAUUGGCUUUCACAGCCUGUCUGUAUCCCAAAUGCACAUUUUCUCGUCCACCACCACCACCAUGCAGCAUAUGCCCUUUUUCUUCCUCAAUAUUUCUUGAUGUGGUAACCCCCAAAAGGGCCCCCGUGCCAAAUACUGCAGCUGUUUGGAAUGAUCUUUUGGACACAUGGGAAACCCGAGAGUGUCAAGGACUGGUUUUAAACUUGGCAAACUAAUCAAAGACGUAUCUGCAAAUGCCCCAGACCUGUACUUUGUCCCAUGGGCCUUAAAAAUAAGUACCUAAAUCACAAUGAAGUACACAUGAAAAUCU